GGGACACGUGGUAUCCUGUCUGAAUAUGGGGGGACCAUCCUCCAAGGCUAAAUACUCCUGACUGACCGAUAGUGAACCAGUACCGUGAGGGAAAGGCGAAAAGAACCCCGGCGAGGGGAGUGAAAAAGAACCUGAAACCGUGUACGUACAAGCAGUGGGAGCCUCUUAAUGGGGUGACUGCGUACCUUUUGUAUAAUGGGUCAGCGACUUAUAUUCUGUAGCAAGGUUAACCGAAUAGGGGAGCCGAAGGGAAACCGAGUCUUAACUGGGCGUUAAGUUGCAGGGUAUAGACCCGAAACCCGGUGAUCUAGCCAUGGGCAGGUUGAAGGUUGGGUAACACUAACUGGAGGACCGAACCGACUAAUGUUGAAAAAUUAGCGGAUGACUUGUGGCUGGGGGUGAAAGGCCAAUCAAACCGGGAGAUAGCUGGUUCUCCCCGAAAGCUAUUUAGGUAGCGCCUCGUGAAUUCAUCUCCGGGGGUAGAGCACUGUUUCGGCAAGGGGGUCAUCCCGACUUACCAACCCGAUGCAAACUGCGAAUACCGGAGAAUGUUAUCACGGGAGACACACGGCGGGUGCUAACGUCCGUCGUGAAGAGGGAAACAACCCAGACCGCCAGCUAAGGUCCCAAAGUCAUGGUUAAGUGGGAAACGAUGUGGGAAGGCCCAGACAGCCAGGAUGUUGGCUUAGAAGCAGCCAUCAUUUAAAGAAAGCGUAAUAGCUCACUGGUCGAGUCGGCCUGCGC
This 744-nucleotide ribosomal RNA is filed under the name Escherichia coli. RNAcentral's name for it is "partial 23S ribosomal RNA". It matches the Rfam family "Bacterial large subunit ribosomal RNA", at positions 419 to 1164 of the family's 2925-position model. The record is from RNAcentral. Lineage: Bacteria; Pseudomonadati; Pseudomonadota; Gammaproteobacteria; Enterobacterales; Enterobacteriaceae. RNAcentral also lists the same sequence under 1 other name.